AUACCUUCAAAAUUGUAUAACCACACAGAAAAUAUCCUGAACAUAACACACACAUAAAUGUAUCAAUUUGUAUGAUUUGCGUCCUUUUGUGCAAAUUCAAAUACAUGACAGGCGCUUGUUUAAAGAUCAUGACGAUACUAGUGCAUGUAUCUGCAUGGACUUUGUUAGUCAUGUAGUUCGAAAGCUCACAGAAAUCAUUAAACUACCAACCCAGCCGCAGCAGUCUCUCUCGAGUAGUUUGUGCGUGAUAUCAGAGUAGUUGAUACAUGUAAGUCUUUAUUGAACCUUCAGGGGAUCACAGAACCACUUCGCGGAUUAGGAGGAGAGGAGCUAUCAAUCAUCUGUGUAAAUUUCGACUUAAAGAGACCAUAAAACAUGGCAGGCGAAUUGAGGGAUUUUGAUGAAAUACUGGUCACGGUUGCCAGAAAAGUCCGACAAAACUCAGACAUCGACACUCUUGGAUCUAAGCUUGGAUUUAGUCCUGAAGAUGUUCAUGGAUACAUAGCAACCAAUCACAGAACACAAAACAUUACGUGGGAUGGAACUCUGCAGAUGCUACGGGAUUGGCGUAAUGACCAAAGAGUUGGAACAGAAAGAGAAGCUUUAAAGACUGCUCUUGAAAUAUCAGGUCAAAUCCGUCUAGCUGAUGAACUCUUUCCUUGAAGUCGACCAAGAACGGAAGAUUAAAAAAAGAAGAAUAAAUUUGUUAUCACAAAAUAUAUGAAUGUUUACAUAGUUUUCUAUACUAUUCAACCAUUUUAUAUUUUGUGUCUUUGAUUAUAAUAGCAUCCACUGUAUCUGAAAUGCUCUCCCAACUUAGUCUCUUAAGUCAUUUUUAAAUAAUUCAACAAUAGAAUCCUUAAGAUGACGUCAGUGUAAAAUUAUCAAAUAUGUCCCUCUUAAAGAAAAAAGUAUAUGUCUGUGUAAGUGGUUGAUGGUGAGUGUGGAAAAACAACUUUUGGUGCAGCAAGUAUUUCUUUUUUGCGGCAGUACUUAAUUAAAAUUUACACAUUGUGAAAGGUAGCUUAUUAAAGUAUUUCGUUUUGUAUCUGUCUUUUGACAUACCCUACUUACAUACCUUACUUAAGUUUAACAUUUUGACAAAUUACGGAGUUUGUCAAAAGCAAUUCGUUUUUAUUUCAGCACUUAAGCCAAAUUCUAGAAAAUUGAUUAUUUUACAUGGGAAAAUGUUAACAGGAAAUAGAGAAGAAAUUCAAAAUUAAAAAGGUAAUGAUAAAUUACUCAUUUUGACCUUGUGAUGGCAGUUUUACUGAUUGAAAUGUAUAAUGAAAACCUUUGUAUUUAGUUUCUUGAAAUGGGAAGGGCUAUAAUGUAUUCAGCUCUUGCAGGUCCUUUUGUUGUAGGUUCUAGGUUCUAGUAACAGGUGGAAAAAAGACCCGCCCGAGGUCUAGUAAUUGUACAUUGCACAUAAUUGCUAUGCACAUGCACAGAGUAGGUAGGAUCACUUUCAUUUUGUUACUCUGAGCAUGUUGAGAGAGGUUAUGUUCUGAUGAUUAAAGAGGAAAUGCCCCUCAGAUUUAUUAAUUUUCCUACCCACAAUGGUGGUGAAUCUAUUUGAAAUUUUAUCAUUACGUUAGAUUCUCGAAUCAAAAAAGAUUUUUGGUCUGCAAUUUUGAUCCAGAUUUUGUUGUAACAGUUCUAUAUCAGAAGCAUGUUUUCCAUAACUUUAAUAGGCAUAAUAUUACGUUGUGAGUUUUCAACAAUUUUCGGUUUUAAAUAAUUGUUACAAUUAUAUUGCAGUGAUGGAAUGGUUUUAUUUCAGAAUUUUUCAGGAGUGAAUUUUUUAUGCAAAAUUUUCUAGGAUCGAUGCAUUCAUGCUGAUGAAUUAAUACUACCUAGAUAUUCUGUUGGUGCUCAUUAAAAUAAGAAAGACAAGUAUUGAUCAAAUUGUUUAUAAAAGUAAUCAAUGAAAUGUUAAAAAUUAGGAUUUGCCAGUUUAGAAAAUGGGAUUUUAUUUAUUUUUCAAGGAUCCCUUGGUCAAGGAACUAUUUUACCCAUGAACAGCCAAUUUCUUUAAAAUUCUUAAUCGAUAAAAUCAAACUUUAUUUUUGUUUAAAUCUUUUGAAAGUAAAUAUCAUUUAUAUGUAAAAUCAUGUUACAUUGAUCAUUAAAAUUUCAUUUGAAAUCGUAUUUGGAAACGAAAUGAGAUAGUUGCAAUAAACAACUUUAAACCGGA
Long non-coding RNA from Lytechinus pictus (painted urchin), 2197 nucleotides. RefSeq lists it as uncharacterized. The record is from RefSeq and is a predicted model, not a curated record. NCBI's taxonomy places the organism in Eukaryota, Metazoa, Echinodermata, Echinoidea, Temnopleuroida, Toxopneustidae. The transcript is spliced from 3 exons.